This 706-nucleotide long non-coding RNA is filed under the name Equus caballus (horse). RNAcentral describes it as "lncRNA (ENSECAG00000046679.1)". Lineage: Eukaryota; Metazoa; Chordata; Mammalia; Perissodactyla; Equidae. The record is from RNAcentral.
GUGCUUCACGUGAAUUAUUUCAUUCAUUCCUCCUGGCAGCUUGAUUACUAUUACCCCACUUUAGGGAUCGACCCUACGCCGCGGCUAUUGCUGGCCGAGCUGGGCUUCGAACUAGACUGUCUGGCUCCAAACUACUCAGCGCUGGCCACAUUUCCCUUCGGUUCCCCACCGCAGAGCCGCAGCGAUCAGGAUCCCAUUUACAAAGGAGAAAAAUGAGGCCCGGAGAGAGUAAGCUCUGUCAGGCACUGAGCGAAAUGUUUUAGUUCCUCAGCUCAUUUCCUUUCCUCAAGCUCUCUAAGAGGCGGAAUUCACGGGCCAGUAGCGAAGGAGGAAAGAGAACGAGAUAAGAGAGGGUUCGUUGGCGGUGGCUGCGCAGGUCGAAAUGGCAGCGUGAUGGAGGCACGGCCAGGUUUGGCUCCUACUGCUGUGUCGUCCCAGCUUCGUGGCCCUUGGAAGCAGCGUUGACCCAUCACGGCAACCAGACCCGGCACCCACCCCGGAAACGGAGAACUGGGAGAAGAGAAAUUACAGCCAAAUUCUGAAAGCGCGGCGCGGGUCCCCGCCUCCACAUUGUCAUUGUCGGAUCCCAGCCCCAUGCCGCGGCGCACCCUGCUCCACACUGCUCGUCCUGCCUGGCGUCUGCCCUGCUGGCUGCUGUCGCCACGCCGGGGGACUUUUCCCGCACCCAAUCUUCUGGAGCCCACAC